Molecule: ribosomal RNA, 430 nt
Filed under: uncultured bacterium
Lineage: Bacteria
Description: bacterial SSU rRNA
Rfam family: Bacterial small subunit ribosomal RNA
Source: RNAcentral
ACGCAAUAAGUAUCCCACCUGGGGAGUACGGCCGCAAGGUUGAAACUCAAGGGAAUUGACGGGGGCCCGCACAAGCAGUGGAGUAUGUGGUUUAAUUCGACGCAACGCGAAGAACCUUACCAAGACUUGACAUGCAAAUGAACAUCUAAGAAAUUAGAUGGGCCUUCGGGACAUUUGUGCAGGUGAUGCAUGGUUGUCGUCAGCUCGUGUCGUGAGAUGUUAGGUUAAGUCCUGCAACGAGCGCAACCCUCGUGACUAGUUGCCAUGAUAAAUGGAACUCUAGUCAGACUGCCGUAGUUAAUACGGAGGAAGGUGAGGAUGAUGUCAAAUCAUCACGUCCCUUAUGUCUUGGGCUACACACGUACUACAAUGGCUAUUACAGAAAGAAGCGNAACCGCGAGGUAGAGCAAAUCUCAGAAAAAUAGCCCUA